AUGGAAGUGACAAGAAGUCACACUGUAAACAUUGCCACUGACUUACGACCACAGUCUUACCACAAUGUGGGAAUGUUACCUGCUUACGGAGAGAAAACCAUGAGGUUCACUGCAACUGAUGCAGCUAUGGAUGUGACAAGGAGUCACACUGUAAACAUUGCCACUGAUUUACCACUGCAGUCACACCAAAGUCUGGACUUUUUACCUCCUUUCGUAGAGAAAACGGUGAGGUUCACUGCUGACGAUGCAGCUAUGGAAGUGACGAGAAGUCACACUGUAAAAAUUGCCAGCAAUUCAGUAUCAGAUUCACUUCUUCCACACCGAGAUUCUAACAUUUUAUCCACCCAUGAAAGCACCGAUUUUCCUUUAUCUGCGAAGAAGACACAUCGUCCCUGUAGAAACCGAUCUUCAUCCUCACAAGCUUUGGAUCUCGGAUUUAAAUACUCCCUGUCUAGGAUGAGUGGCCCCUGGGCUAAUCCUCUGAUCACCAGAGCAGUGGCUGCGGCUGCACCGUCCCCUCAAGAAACUGUAGACACAAAUUGUUUCCUGGACCAACUUAAUACACAGAAGCCGGAUGUGGAUACUGAAAAAGAGGCUCCAGGUUUUGUUUCAGCUGUCAUGGAGAAGCCAGUAAACAAAAGCAUGGCAGCAGGUCCAGAGGACGAUGUAAGCAUAGAUAUGACUGAAGUUCAAACGGGUCACAUUUUGGGACAAGCGUAUACAGAUGAGCCACCUCAGUGCCCUUCUUCUGCACAGGACACCGAGGUCACUUCCAAACAGAGCAAUGAAGCACUGGGAUCAUCCAACCCCGACCAAAUCACAAACUUUCCCGAUUCUCUUGACUCAAAUGAAACUGACAACUGGAAGGAACCUGAACCAAGAAAUCAAACUGGUGCUUUAUCACAGAAGGUGGAGAGCUCACCCAGUGCUGUUGAUGAUGCCGCGCCCUCAUUGAAGUCUAGACGAAUUAGUUUAGCCGAUCUUCAGUCAAAAGUAAGGCGUUUGAGCCACAUGGUGAAGACAGCUCCUGAUACUGUUGCCACGGACGGCUGCACGGCACCUUUGCCUCGGCUGCAAUGCGACAUGGACAAAAACUCAAAUGACCAAACCAACUCACUACCUGUAACAGAGCCUGAACGUGAAGAACAUACACAAGCUCAAUGUCUUAUGCAAGAACAACCCCCCAUUACUACGACUCCUUUCAACUUGAAGACGAAAGAACUUAUGUCCAGACUCUCAAUGGGAAGCUUUAAGGCAAAGCUCCCCCAAAGAAGCAAACCCAACGAUCCCAAAGAGGGAGAGUUAUGUGGGAGAACAUACAAGGACAGUCAAUGUUACUAA
Molecule: long non-coding RNA, 1341 nt
Filed under: Cottoperca gobio
Lineage: Eukaryota; Metazoa; Chordata; Actinopteri; Perciformes; Bovichtidae
Description: lncRNA (ENSCGOG00000011208.1)
Source: RNAcentral